Molecule: non-coding RNA, 29 nt
Filed under: Mus musculus (house mouse)
Lineage: Eukaryota; Metazoa; Chordata; Mammalia; Rodentia; Muridae
Source: RNAcentral
UAGAAAUACCUGUGCAGAAGGUCCAAUGC